Molecule: ribosomal RNA, 253 nt
Filed under: uncultured bacterium
Lineage: Bacteria
Description: partial 16S ribosomal RNA
Rfam family: Bacterial small subunit ribosomal RNA
Source: RNAcentral
UACGUAGGUGGCAAGCGUUGUCCGGAUUUACUGGGCGUAAAGAGCGCGCAGGCGGUCGUUCAAGUCGCGUGUGAAAGCCCCCGGCUCAACUGGGGAGGGUCACGCGAUACUGAUCGACUCGAAGGCAGGAGAGGGAAGUGGAAUUCCCGGUGUAGUGGUGAAAUGCGUGGAUAUCGGGAGGAACACCAGUGGCGAAGGCGACUUCCUGGCCUGUUCUUGACGCUGAGGCGCGAAAGCUAGGGGAGCAAACGGG